AUUGAACGCUGGCGGCAUGCCUUACACAUGCAAGUCGAACGGCAGCACGGGUGCUUGCACCUGGUGGCGAGUGGCGAACGGGUGAGUAAUACAUCGGAACGUACCUUAUCGUGGGGGAUACCGCAGCGAAAGCUGUGCUAAUACCGCAUACGCCCUGAGGGGGAAAGCGGGGGAUGGCAAGACCUCGCGCGAUUAUAGGGGCCGAUGCCUGAUUAGCUUGUUGGUGGGGUAAAAGCCCACCAAGGCGACGAUCAGUAGCUGGUCUGAGAGGACGAUCAGCCACACUGGGACUGAGACACGGCCCAGACUCCUACGGGAGGCAGCAGUGGGGAAUUUUGGACAAUGGGGGCAACCCUGAUCCAGCAAUGCCGCGUGAGUGAAGAAGGCCUUCGGGUUGUAAAGCUCUUUUGUCAGGGAAGAAACACCGGCUCUAACACAGUCCGGGAAUGACGGUACCUGAAGAAUAAGCACCGGCUAACUACGUGCCAGCCGCCGCCGUAA
RNAcentral lists this ribosomal RNA (501 nucleotides) under uncultured bacterium. RNAcentral's name for it is "partial 16S ribosomal RNA". It matches the Rfam family "Bacterial small subunit ribosomal RNA", at positions 30 to 523 of the family's 1533-position model. The record is from RNAcentral.